UGAUAAAACAAUUAAACAUUUAGCAUUUUCUCAAGUUUUUGUUGUUUAAAAAAGCUAUAGAAGUGAAGACAUGAGAAAAAGGUCAUUGUGGUGGACUUUCAGUGAAGGAACCAAACUGUCUGUUGAAAAUAACGCUCUCCCUACUCUAACGGUCCUGCCUCCCUCCAGAGAUGAGUUGAAACAGGGUAAAGCUACAGUCAUGUGUGUUGGCAGUAAUGGUUUUCCCUCUGACUGGAAGCUGAACUGGAAGGUUGAUGGUAGCAGCAGGAGCUCUGGUGUGAAUCUGAGUCCCAGUGUACUGCUGAAGGAUGGACUGUACAGCUGGAGCAGCAGUCUGAGUCUCACUGACAGUGAAUGGAGAUCAGCAAAAACCAUCAGCUGUGAGGCCACACAGAGUUCCCAGAGUUCAGUCAUCAAAACCAUUGACACACAACAAUGUAAUGCAGAAUAAAACCACACAAUUUACAGAAUAGUAAAUCUUAAUAAAAAUAACAUGUUUUACUUUUUGCAGAGGUUAUGUUGCUUUGUAAUGUAUAGUUUAUUGUAGUGCAUAACAGCAGACUUUAUUAAUUUGCUGAUUCCUAUAUUUUGGUUGCAAAAAUAAAAUGCA
This is a non-coding RNA of Paramisgurnus dabryanus, 610 nucleotides long. The record is from the annotation of a RefSeq genome assembly. Lineage: Eukaryota; Metazoa; Chordata; Actinopteri; Cypriniformes; Cobitidae.